GAUGAACGCUGGCGGCGUGCCUAAUACAUGCAAGUCGAGCGAACAGACGAGGAGCUUGCUCCUCUGACGUUAGCGGCGGACGGGUGAGUAACACGUGGAUAACCUACCUAUAAGACUGGGAUAACUUCGGGAAACCGGAGCUAAUACCGGAUAAUAUAUUGAACCGCAUGGUUCAAUAGUGAAAGACGGUUUUGCUGUCACUUAUAGAUGGAUCCGCGCCGCAUUAGCUAGUUGGUAAGGUAACGGCUUACCAAGGCAACGAUGCGUAGCCGACCUGAGAGGGUGAUCGGCCACACUGGAACUGAGACACGGUCCAGACUCCUACGGGAGGCAGCAGUAGGGAAUCGUCCGCAGUGGGCGAAAGCUUGACGGAGCAACGCCGCGUGAGUGAUGAAGGUCUUCGGAUCGUAAAACUCUGUUAUUAGGGAAGAACAAAUGUGUAAGUAACUAUGCACGUCUUGACGGUACCUAAUCAGAAAGCCACGGCUAACUACGUG
This 497-nucleotide ribosomal RNA is filed under the name uncultured bacterium. Its description in RNAcentral is "partial 16S ribosomal RNA". It matches the Rfam family "Bacterial small subunit ribosomal RNA", at positions 28 to 507 of the family's 1533-position model. The record is from RNAcentral.